CAAGGAAUCUUCCGCAAUGGGGGCAACCCUGACGGAGCAACGCCGCGUGGGGGAUGACGCCCUUCGGGGUGUAAACCCCUUUUCUGCGGGACGAAGGCGGGGGCGACCUCGCUUGACGGUACCGGAGGAAGAAGGACCGGCUAACUACGUGCCAGCAGCCGCGGUAAUACGUAGGGUCCGAGCGUUGUCCGGAGUUACUGGGCGUAAAGCGCGCGCAGGCGGCGGUGCUGGCCCGGCGUGAAAGCCCCCGGCUCAACCGGGGAGGGUCGUCGGGGACCGCACCGCUUGAGGGCGGUAGGGGCUGGUGGAAUGCCUGGUGUAGUGGUGAAAUGCGUAGAGAUCAGGCGGAACACCUGUGGCGAAGGCGGCCAGCUGGGCCGUCCCUGACGCUGAGGCGCGAAGGCGUGGGGAGCGAACGGGAUUAGAUACCCCGGUAGUCCACGCAGUAAACGAUGCCGACUAGGCGUGGGGGGAGUUGACCCCCUCCGUGCCGGAGCUAACGCGGGAAGUCGGCCGCC
RNAcentral lists this ribosomal RNA (518 nucleotides) under uncultured Chloroflexota bacterium. RNAcentral's name for it is "bacterial SSU rRNA". It matches the Rfam family "Bacterial small subunit ribosomal RNA", at positions 355 to 873 of the family's 1533-position model. Lineage: Bacteria; Bacillati; Chloroflexota. The record is from RNAcentral.